GAUCAUGGCUCAGGAUGAACGCUGGCGGCGUGCUUAACACAUGCAAGUCGAACGAAGAAGAGUUGAAUGAGAGCUUCGGCAGGAUUUCUUCUCAUCUUAGUGGCGGACGGGUGAGUAACGUGUGGGCAACCUGCCCUAUACUGGGGAAUAAUCACUGGAAACGGUGACUAAUACCGCAUGUCAUCACCGGAGGGCAUCCUCUGGGUGAAAAACUCCGGUGGUAUAAGAUGGAUUCGCGUCUGAUUAGCUAGUUGGUGAGGUAACGGCCCACCAAGGCGACGAUCAGUAGCCGGCCUGAGAGGGUGAACGGCCACAUUGGGACUGAGACACGGCCCAAACUCCUACGGGAGGCAGCAGUGGGGAAUAUUGCACAAUGGGGGAAACCCUGAUGCAGCGACGCCGCGUGAGUGAAGAAGUAUUUCGGUAUGUAAAGCUCUAUCAGCAGGGAAGAAAAUGACGGUACCUGACUAAGAAGCCCCGGCUAACUACGUG
Molecule: ribosomal RNA, 492 nt
Filed under: uncultured bacterium
Lineage: Bacteria
Description: bacterial SSU rRNA
Rfam family: Bacterial small subunit ribosomal RNA
Source: RNAcentral